AACGGAACGCAUUUCAGAAGUUGCAUUCAAAUUCAUGUAUGCAAAUGCAGAAGGUGGAUGCAAUGAAAAGGAAUCGACCAUUUUGUGUAAGCAAAAUACUUUAGCUGUUAAGGUUCACCUAAGGCAGCAAUAGAUGAUAAACACCACAUAACUAUUUGAUUAUAAAGAAAUGUACCAACUACUCCAAGAGCACUCAUCCAUAAACCGGUUACUAGUACAAAUAACAUAAAGAAAUGUAACCAACGUUUAUAGGAAAAAGCAACCCCAAAGAUUUGGGACCAAAAGCGGAUAGCGGUGACCAUUGAAUAAUUUUCUUUGGCUUGAGUUGGGUUAAAAGCACGGAAUGUAUAAGUGAAUUUUCUGUGUAUAUUCCUUGUACACAAAAUGUGUAUUUAUACAAGUAGAUGAAUGAAAAAAUAAAAAAUAAAUAUUAAAUCCUAUACAUUUUUGUCUACUUCCAUUGGCUGCUAGAAUAACAACUUUAUGAAAAUAUACGCUACUCUAUGCUAGGAAGUUUCCAAGAAUAUCACAAUUGUAUAUUUUGUGAAAAUAUCACAGCAGUUAAUCUGAUCCGAGAUGGCCUAGAGUGUUAUCAAACCUGAAAGAAAUUGUUGCCGUACGAAGUGGCAAUAGAGUUCAACAUGCUUAGUCCUCUCGUGGAAGACCGGAUCCCGAUGUGUAUAGUAGCCUUGCUAUCAAAGUGAACAGGAACAAGCAAAGAUGGAGUGAUGGAAAGAUAUUCAAGAAUAUGAGUUAACCGAGUAAGUUCUGUUGUAACCCUUCUCAUAGAUCUAUACUCCGAUUCAGCUGAGGACAAGGAAUAGAAGUCUCACUACAAGAAAAAAAUAUUUGGCAACAAAAUUAUUUUUGUUGCAAAAAGUACUUUUGGAAACAAUUUUUUUUUUGUUGCCAAAAUUACUUUUCCCAACGGCUGUUAUUGCAACAACAUGCAACAACUUUUUUGUUUGGUUGCCAAAAGUACUUUUUGCAACAAUAAUCAAUACUAUGACAACAAAAUUAAAUUCUUUGGCAACAAAAAAAAAUCAUUUGCCAACAAUAAACUAAGUAGUUGCCAAAUAUUAAAUUUUUUGUUGCCAUUUCUAUACUUUCUUGUAGUGUGUUUCUUCGAUUUACAAGAAAUAGGUGCUCCUCCUAAGCUUAUAAAGAAACCACUGACAGAUUUGCAUGUGUCUUUGCAGGAUGCCCAGUCGGCAAUGCAAAAGGCAAUGAGGGAAAAUGCUGGAUCCAGUUAAAGAACAAACCUUGACCAGGAUUAACUCGUCGAUAACGCGGUACACGCAAAGCAACCAUGAAAUGACCCAUACAAAGCUGUAGCAUAUAUUGACUCAAAGUCGAUACUGCAAUAGACAAGUCCGGCCUUGUAUGGGUAAGAUAAUUGAGUUUUCCAACAACUCGUCUGUAGAUUGUUGGAUCAGCAAGUAAAGGGCCUGAUGAUGCACAAAUCUUUGAUGAAGGAUCAAGAGGAGAUGAAACUACAGGUAAAUUGUCACAAUCAAACUCCUGUAAUAGUUCCAUUGUGAAUUUUCUUUGACUUACUAUAAAUCCUUGUGGUUCUCAUAGAAUUUCCAACCCUAUAAAAUAGUGUAAUUCACCUAGAACCUUGAUUUUGAAUUCAGUAUUGAGAAAAAGCUUGAUUGCUUCAAACUCUGAGGGAUCACUCCCAUUGAAGAGAAUAUCAUCAACAUAGACAGCAAUAAUUGAAAUGAGGUUUCCUCUUUU
Molecule: long non-coding RNA, 1740 nt
Organism: Lycium ferocissimum
Lineage: Eukaryota; Viridiplantae; Streptophyta; Magnoliopsida; Solanales; Solanaceae
Exons: 2
Source: RefSeq, a predicted model, not a curated record